Molecule: long non-coding RNA, 564 nt
Filed under: Vigna radiata
Lineage: Eukaryota; Viridiplantae; Streptophyta; Magnoliopsida; Fabales; Fabaceae
Description: long non-coding RNA (VRAD_LNC004307)
Source: RNAcentral
CAGCUCUCUGGUGUGAAGGAGAAAGAAAAACCAAGAACGCAUUCAGCUCUGCAGCACCGCCCACCAACAAACCGGCCACUAACAAAAACACCCACCGGCAGCACCACCACCAUACACCACCGACACCUCAGCAAUACCAGUCCACCAAGAAGGCGGCCAGCACCACCAACAAAUACCCUUUAUCAAAGUGCUUAAAUCCUACCAACAGGGUUUAGUAUCAAUGGAAAUUGAUCUGUCAGAAGCAGAACCUGAGAUCAUUAAUGACGGUUUCACGGCCAAGAAAUCAAAGCAGCGUAAGAGGAAGAGUUUCAUGGUGGAAGAGGAAGGGCAAAUGGGGUCGCGAGAGAAGCUGGCAAAAAAAAUCUUGUUGUCUCUUACUCGGCCUUCCUACGUCUUGGGAUUGGGUCCCAAACCUCUGAGGAAGGAACACCGUAUGAGGUUGCGCUAUCUGCUGCGCAGACUCGUCAACCAGCAUCAGUGGGUCGAAGCCAGUGGUGUUCUCAGUGUCUAUAUGAAGGGCACACUUAAUGAGACCUCGCCCCUCAGAAAUCGUCUUAAAUUUUG